Molecule: long non-coding RNA, 300 nt
Organism: Astyanax mexicanus (Mexican tetra)
Lineage: Eukaryota; Metazoa; Chordata; Actinopteri; Characiformes; Acestrorhamphidae
Exons: 3
Source: RefSeq, a predicted model, not a curated record
GCAGGUUUUAAGGUGGUAAAUGCAGGUUUUAAGGUGGUAAAUGCAGGUUUUAAGGUGAUAAAUGCAGGUUUUAAGGUGAUAAAUGCAGGUUUUAAGGUGGUAAAUGCAGGUUUUAAGGUGGUAAAUGCAGGUUUUAAGGUGAUAAAUGCAGGUUUUAAGGUGGUAAAUGCAGGUUUUAAGGUGAUAAAUGCAGGUUUUAAGGUGGUAAAUGCAGGUUUUAAGGUGGUAAAUGCAGGUUUUAAGGUGAUAAAUGCAGGUUUUAAGGUGGUAAAUGCAGGUUUUAAGGUGGUAAAUGCAGGU